CAUUUAUAAACCCUCCUGCCCUCAUUGUUUUACUGUUGGUCUUCAGUAUGAUGACUUUUCAGAUCCUCCUGGGGGCUUCCCUUGUUGUCUUGCUGAUUCUGGAUGUCUGUGGUCUUCCUGUCAAAGAUCCAAGACCACAGCUCCAGGGAGGCAGUGGCAUCAAAGCAGCAUCUCAGGGAGUAGCGGCUCC
Molecule: long non-coding RNA, 190 nt
Organism: Cyprinodon tularosa
Lineage: Eukaryota; Metazoa; Chordata; Actinopteri; Cyprinodontiformes; Cyprinodontidae
Exons: 3
Source: RefSeq, a predicted model, not a curated record